Molecule: long non-coding RNA, 318 nt
Filed under: Elaeis guineensis (African oil palm)
Lineage: Eukaryota; Viridiplantae; Streptophyta; Magnoliopsida; Arecales; Arecaceae
Description: long non-coding RNA (EGUI_LNC063562)
Source: RNAcentral
GACAAUGGCAUGUCCUAAAGUAAUCCUACACUUGAAGGUACAUCCGAGUCUCCAUCAUCAAACCAUCCGUCAGUUAUACAACCUUUAUGCUCCUCGGACCAAGCCUAGGUAAUCUUGAUUAAUGCCCCUAUUGCUCAUCAAUUCUUGUUCUUACCAAAAUGCCUAGCUUCUCUCUCUCUAGACCAAGCCUAGGUUUUCUGAUAAUGCUCCUCAGACCAAGCCUAAGUAAUCUUGUUUGAUGCCCCUACUACUCAUCAAACCUCGAUCUUUCUAAACUACUUCUCUCCCCCCAGGCUCUAUUAUCAACCUAUAGCAGAG